GGAUACCUAAAUUUCCCAUGGCAAACUGCUCAAUAACACAUGAUCAACUUGCCCUAUAGAGAAAAAUAACCUCGGGAAACUGAGGAUAAUGUUUCAUAGUUGAAAAGGCUUGGAAAAGUUUUUCGACCAAAGGGAUAAGAAAAAUGGUUUUUAUCCGCUAUAGGAUAGGAUCGUGCUCGAUUAUGGUCGUUGGUGAGGUAACGGCUCACCAAGCCGAUAAUCGAUAGGGGCCGUGAGAGCGGGAGCCCCGAGAUGGGUACUGAGACAGCGACCCAGGCCUUACGAGGCGCAGCAGGCGCGGAACCUCCGCAAUACACGAAAGUGUGACGGGGUUACCCAAAGUGUUCAGUUUUGAACUGUGGUAGGUGAGUAAUGUCCCCUACUAGAAAGGAGAGGGCAAGGCUGGUGCCAGCCGCCGCGGUAAAACCAGCUCUUCAAGUGGUCGGGAUAAUUAUCGGGCUUAAAGUGUCCGUAGCCGGUUUAGUAAGUUCCUGGUAAAAUCAGGUAGCUUAACUAUCUGCAUGCUAGGAAUACUGCUAUACUAGAGGGCGGGAGAGGUCUGAGGUACUACAGGGGUAGGGGUGAAAUCUUAUAAUCCUUGUAGGACCACCAGUGGCGAAGGCGUCAGACUGGAACGUGCCUGACGGUGAGGGACGAAAGCCAGGGGAGCGAACCGGAUUAGAUACCCGGGUAGUCCUGGCCGUAAACGAUGCAUACUAGGUGAUGGCAUGGCCAUGAGCCGUGUCGGUGCCGUAGGGAAACCGUUAAGUGUGCCGCCUGGGAAGUACGGUCGCAAGGCUAAAACUUAAAGGAAUUGGCGGGGGAGCACCACAAGGGGUGAAGCCUGCGGUUCAAUUGGAUUCAACGCCGGG
This 872-nucleotide ribosomal RNA is filed under the name uncultured crenarchaeote. RNAcentral describes it as "bacterial SSU rRNA". It matches the Rfam family "Archaeal small subunit ribosomal RNA", at positions 65 to 922 of the family's 1478-position model. Lineage: Archaea; Thermoproteati; Thermoproteota. The record is from RNAcentral.